This 85-nucleotide transfer RNA is filed under the name Rhodotorula toruloides. RNAcentral's name for it is "tRNA-Ser". It matches the Rfam family "tRNA". From Rfam's summary of the family: Transfer RNA (tRNA) molecules are approximately 80 nucleotides in length. Their secondary structure includes four short double-helical elements and three loops (D, anti-codon, and T loops). Lineage: Eukaryota; Fungi; Basidiomycota; Microbotryomycetes; Sporidiobolales; Sporidiobolaceae. The record is from RNAcentral. RNAcentral also lists the same sequence under 1 other name.
GGGUGAAUGACAGAGUGGUCGAUUGUGCUUUACUUGAAAUAAAGUGUGCUAAUAAGCACCAUGGGUUCGAAUCCCAUUUCGCCCG